This 230-nucleotide ribosomal RNA is filed under the name uncultured bacterium. RNAcentral describes it as "partial 16S ribosomal RNA". It matches the Rfam family "Bacterial small subunit ribosomal RNA", at positions 524 to 753 of the family's 1533-position model. The record is from RNAcentral.
GACGAACCGUGCAAACGUUGUUCGGAAUCACUGGGCUUAAAGGGCGCGUAGGCGGGCAAGCAAGUCGAAGGUGAAAUCCCACGGCUCAACCGUGGAAGUGCCCCCGAUACUGCUUGUCUUGAGGGAGAUAGGGGCGUGCGGAACUUCCGGUGGAGCGGUGAAAUGCGUAGAUAUCGGAAGGAACACCGGUGGCGAAAGCGGCGCGCUGGAUCUCUUCUGACGCUGAGGCG